GCAAACUUGGUCAUUUAGAGGAAGUAAAAGUCGUAACAAGGUUUCCGUAGGUGAACCUGCGGAAGGAUCAUUAACAGUUCCGGCCAAGACCCCCUGCGGGCUAGGCUACUGAACUUACACCCUGGCCCGGAAAACACCAUCUCCUUACCGCUUCGGCCUGGAUGGGGAGAUGUGUAUCCGGGUUUCAUGUGUUCACUCUUCACCCUUUGAGAAACUUUAUACCUUUGCUUCGGCAGCACCGUGCGCGGGCAACCGCCGUCGGGUAAGGCUGUCAGAAGCCCAUACCAAAACAUGUUGAUGAAAUGUCAUGCUGUCUGAUACAUUACUAUUUUUGAGAAAUCAAAACAUAUUAAAACUUUCAGCAACGGAUCUCUUGGUUCCCGCAUCGAUGAAGAACGCAGC
This 402-nucleotide unclassified non-coding RNA is filed under the name uncultured fungus. Its description in RNAcentral is "partial contains small subunit ribosomal RNA, internal transcribed spacer 1, and 5.8S ribosomal RNA". The stretch from base 1 to 73 matches the Rfam family "Eukaryotic small subunit ribosomal RNA", at positions 1759 to 1831 of the family's 1831-position model. Lineage: Eukaryota; Fungi. The record is from RNAcentral.